This is a long non-coding RNA of Oncorhynchus tshawytscha (Chinook salmon), 2596 nucleotides long. The record is from Ensembl. Lineage: Eukaryota; Metazoa; Chordata; Actinopteri; Salmoniformes; Salmonidae.
UGCUACGCCAUCUUGGUUAAGUGAUCAGAACUCAUACUCUGAGGUGCUUUGUGGACAGAGGUGAGCUUGCUGCUCACUCUAACCUGUUCAGUUGUGAAGAGCCAGUUUACAAUCCCCCUGGCCUGUCUAGUGGGGGAGGGGAGCCUACUGAAGGAGUAAGAAAUGUACAGUUCUUGUCUCUAAGAGAGGGCGGUAACAUGAUGUGCUAAAAGUCACCAGCAAGGAAUUUGUAACAAAGUUUGCUUUUACAUUACAGUAAUGUAUUAUUGUAAAAUUAGUCAACCGUAAUGAUGUGUAUCUUACAGCAAUAUUUACCCUUUAUAUUCCUUCAUUGUAUUCCCCACAGAGAAGAUGAUGAUGUUUGGGAGCAAACCACCCCCAGCUAGUGCACCCGCCGGUCUUCACCCUCCUCUGCCAGAUCCACAACCCCUGGAUCGGAUCCCGAAGGUUGCUGGAUCGGAUCCCCAAGCUGACAAGGACCUGAGCCCUAGGACCAUGCCCCAGGACUACCUGACAUGAUGACUCCUUGCUGUCCCCAGUCCACCUGGCCGUGCUGCUGCUCCAGUUUCAACUGUUCUGCCUUAUUAUUAUACGACCAUGCUGGUCAUUUAUGAACAUUUGAACAUCUUGGCCAUGUUCUGUUAUAAUCUCCACCCGGCACAGCCAGAAGAGGACUGGCCACCCCACAUAGCCUGGUUCCUCUCUAGGUUUCUUCCUAGGUUUUGGCCUUUCUAGGGAGUUUUUCCUAGCCACCGUGCUUCUACACCUGCAUUGCUUGCUGUUUGGGGUUUUAGGCUGGGUUUCUGUACAGCACUUUGAGAUAUCAGCUGAUGUAUGAAGGGCUAUAUAAAUAAUUUUGAUUUGAUUUGAUUUGAAUGGUGUUUAACAUGAUUUUUGAAUGACUACCCCAUCUCUGUACCCCACACAUACAAUUAAGGUCCCUCAGGCGAGCAGUGAAUUUUGAACACAGAUUCAACCACAAAGACCAGGGAGGCUUUUCAUUGAUAGAUGGGUAAAAAAAUCAGACAUUGAAUAUCCCUUUGAGCAUGGCGAAGUUACUAAUUACCCUGGAUGGUGUGUCAAUACAUCCAGUUACUACAAAGAUACAAGCGUCCUUCCUAACUCAUUUGCUGGAGAGGAAGGAAACCGCUCAGGGAUUUCACCAUGAGGCCAAUGGUGACUUCAAAACAGUUACGGAAUUGAAUGACUGUGAUAGGAAAAACUGAGGCUGGAUCCACAACAUUGUAGUUACUCCAAAAUACUAACCUAAUUGACAGAGUGAAAAAACAGAAUAAAAAUAUUCCAAAACAUGCAUCCAGUUUGCAACAAAGCACUAAAGUAACUCAAAACAUGUGACAAAGCAAUUCACUUUUUGUCCUGAAUACAAGGUGUCAUGUUCGGGGCAAAUCCAAUACUACACAUUACUAAGUACCACUCUCCAUAUUUUCAAGCAUAGUGGUGUCUGCAUUAUGUUAUGGGUAUGCUUGUAAUCGUUAAGGUGUGAAUGUGUAUGCUGUGUACAAAGAAAUACAAAAGAACGUUGUCAAAUCAAUCUUGAACUCCCAUGUUCAGGGCCAUGCCUAUAGAGUACCACAGUAUGAGUCACAAUACCCAUAAAACCUAGCGGUCAAAGAAGGAAAUGCUUCCAAUCGUUUUUCCACCAUUAAAUUUUCCCAUUUGGGGAUUUUAGAAACACUUAAAAUAAGGUCUGUGUUUCGUGUAGCCUUACUCUGGCGUGACGUUUUGAUAAACGUGAAAAAUCUCUCUAGGACACGCUGACUUUUAUCAAUAUAUUUGCCUGAUUUUACUAUUUUGAGGAAGCAUAUACAGGCUACGGCAUCUCAAAAUGGUGAAACUGUACUAUUGACCAUUUUUUUGCAUUUUCCAAUGUAUUUUAAGGUAGUAUGCAAGCACAAUCGUUCUGUUCGCCUAGCCGAGUUCGGCAAGAUGCCAGCCGAACUAAAGCAUGCUGACGCCUUUACACAUUCUAUAACCAUCCCAGAGCCAGUGUCUGCUGGGAUAUUAUUCACCACUACUGCUACACUGGCAGUGGACUGGGUAGUGGUUCUAGCUGGUUGAAAUAUGUCAUACCCUGAUCUGUUUCACCUGUCUUUGUGCUUGUCUCCACCCCCCUCUAGGUGUCGCACAUCUUCCCCGUUAUCCCAUGUGUAUUUAUACCUGUGUUCUCUGUUUGUUUCCAGAUUGUUUUGUUUGUGAAACCUACCACGGUUUGUUCCCCUGCUCCUGCCAGUUUUUUGCUCCUGUUUUCUAGUCCUUCCCAGUAUUGACCCCUGCCCUCCCUUACCCUAAAACUGCCUACCGUUCUGAACCCUUUGCACCAUCUCUGGAUUAUUGACCCCUGCCUGCAUUGACCUGUCGUUUGCCUGCCCCUGUUUUAGGAAUAAACUUUUAUUUUGUUGACACUGUCUGCAUCUGGGGUCAUACCUUAAAUGUGACAGAAAUACAUAUAAUUUACUAGCCUAAACAAUAUAAUACUGACAAAAGCACAUAUCCCAGCAUACAACAGGUAGCAGAUGGACUAACAAUUUUUGGAGGGAGAACGACUGUGAGAAGCUCAGUUCUGGUGACUUAUUAA